This 292-nucleotide ribosomal RNA is filed under the name uncultured bacterium. RNAcentral describes it as "partial 16S ribosomal RNA". It matches the Rfam family "Bacterial small subunit ribosomal RNA", at positions 505 to 796 of the family's 1533-position model. The record is from RNAcentral.
GUGUCAGCCGCCGCGGUAAGACAGAGGUGGCGAGCGUUGUUCGGAUUUAUUGGGCGUAAAGCGAACGCAGGUGGUUUGGUAAGUCAGAGGUGAAAUUCCGCAGCUUAACUGCGAAACUGCCUUUGAUACUGCCUUUCUAGAGUGCAUGAGGGGGAAGCGGAAUUCCGAGUGUAGAGGUGAAAUUCGUAGAUAUUCGGAGGAACACCGGUGGCGAAGGCGGCUUCCUGGCAUGUAACUGACACUCAUGUUCGAAAGCGUGGGGAGCAAACAGGAUUAGAAACCCUGGUAGUCC